AGUGUGGCUGGAGGGGUGCACAGGGAAUGGCAUAGAAAAGGGAAUUGUCCCUCAGGAGCAGAGGGUUAUGAUGUCAGAGGCGAGGCGUGAACCAGUUCGCAUAGCACUUUCUAGGACAUAAUAAGGAGUGUGAAUUCUAUGUUGCCAUGGGAAGCCAGCAUCCUUGCACGAGGUGGUUAAGUGCUGAGAGAAAAUAAAUCAGGUUAAGGGGCUAGAGAGAGACUGGAAGGCUGGGGAGGCUAUUUAAAACAGGCAGAGGAGCUCUCUCUGAGGAAGUGACUUUAGGACUGAGUCUUGAACUAUCUGAAACAGCGACCAUGCAGAUUUCUGGGAUAAGCCAGUUCCAGGCAGAGAAAAUAGCACUGAAGUGGGAAUAAGCAUGACAUAUCCUGGAAAGAGCAAGAAGAUCAGCGUGGCGAGGGCACAAUACCAGAGGAAGCAGGGGGAGGAGGACAGCCCUGCGGAGGCAGUGGGAUGGUACUUGGCUUUUAUUCUAAAUACACUGGGAAGAUUUGGGAGGACUCUUGCUUUUUUGUUGAGGGAACUGGCUGAAAACCCAGUAGAUUUUGUGGCCGUUCUUGACUAAGAAGAGUGUGGAACAAAGCCACAGAGUCACAGCCCCAGACAAGACCUGAAUGAAGUGCUACAGCCUGGUGGUGGCAAGACUGGGAGGGAAACAGAAGAGCACUAUGAGACAGAAUCCAGAAGCAAGGAGAGGAAGGAAAGGCCUCGGAGCCCCUAAGGAGAAGGAGGGUAAACACUCAGGAGCAGGAUUGCUGGGUGAUAUGAAUGCACAUUUUCCCCCUGGAUCGCAAAUAAUCUGAACCAGGGUAAAACCAUUACAAAGUGGCCUUCAAACAUCAUGUCUGUAUUUGAACUGAAUGACUGAUCAGACAUUUAAAUACAGAAACUGGGAAUUCAGCUGACCAGAAUUUCACCAGGGUGACAUGACAGUUUGUUGCUAAGGAACUGAAGACUAUGUCAUAAGUGAGCAUUCUGAUGAAGAGGAGUGAACAGUUUGCAACAGAUUGGAUAUUAAGAAUAAAUCAGCUCUCUGUGUACGUCCUUGUGUGGUGGUAUAACUGACAACAGGUAGAGUCCCUCAUGGGAUUGGGUUCCGCCAAUAAGAGCCACUUGCAUGAGACCUCAACUGAGAGCGAGGAUGUCACCUCCACCAGAACAAGGACUAGGUUUUGUAUGUUGCUGUUCCUUUAGUGCCAGAACAUGCCCACCCCUGGUCAGUAAAUAAGCAUUAAGUGAAUGAAUUAAUAAGUGAAAGGCUGUGUUUGAAGAGGAGGGGCUCACUCCAAAUCUUGAAGAUGUUCAGCCUCGAAAAAGUAGAAGUCAUUAUGACCAAAGAUGAUGCCACCACACCUUUGAAAAAGAAAGGUGAUGAGCCUCAGAUGGAAAAACAUUCAAGAAAGGUCAAUACUACCGAGUAUGAAUGAACACAUAGCAAAAAUUUCAGAUGGAACAGCCAUGCCAAGGGCUUGUGGGACAGGUGAGGCUGAGUGAAUAAAAAGAAGCAGCCCCAGGGACACUCAAGGUGGUUCCAGCUGCUUGUGAAGGAGGCUUCUUUCUAAGAGGCGGCUGGGCUUGGUUUCGGUGUAUUCCAGUUUGGGACUCAUGAACUGCAACUAAUAAAGAUCAAAAAACUGA
This is a long non-coding RNA of Piliocolobus tephrosceles (Ugandan red Colobus), 1659 nucleotides long. RefSeq lists it as uncharacterized. The record is from RefSeq and is a predicted model, not a curated record. The transcript is spliced from 8 exons. NCBI's taxonomy places the organism in Eukaryota, Metazoa, Chordata, Mammalia, Primates, Cercopithecidae.